AUGCACGCUGGCGGCGUGCUUAACACCUGCAAGUCGAACGGAAAGGCCACAGCUUGCUGUGGUACUCGAGUGGCGAACGGGUGAGUAACACGUGGGUGAUCUGCCCUGUACUUCGGGAUAAGCUUGGGAAACUGGGUCUAAUACCGGAUAGGAAUCACAUGUGGGUGUGUGGUUGGAAAGCUUUUGCGGUAUGGGAUGAGCUCGCGGCCUAUCAGCUUGUUGGUGGGGUAAUGGCCUACCAAGGCGUCGACGGGUAGCCGGCCUGAGAGGGUGUACGGCCACAUUGGGACUGAGAUACGGCCCAGACUCCUACGGGAGGCAGCAGUGGGGAAUAUUGCACAAUGGGCGCAAGCCUGAUGCAGCGACGCCGCGUGGGGGAUGACGGCCUUCGGGUUGUAAACUCCUUUCGUCAGGGACGAAGCGAAAGUGACGGUACCUGGAUAAGAAGCACCGGCUAACUACGUG
This 465-nucleotide ribosomal RNA is filed under the name uncultured bacterium. Its description in RNAcentral is "partial 16S ribosomal RNA". It matches the Rfam family "Bacterial small subunit ribosomal RNA", at positions 29 to 507 of the family's 1533-position model. The record is from RNAcentral.